UGGGGAAUUUUGGACAAUGGGGGAAACCCUGAUCCAGCCAUCCCGCGUGUGCGAUGAAGGCCUUCGGGUUGUAAAGCACUUUUGGCAGGAAAGAAACGUCGCGGGUUAAUACCCCGCGAAACUGACGGUACCUGCAGAAUAAGCACCGGCUAACUACGUGCCAGCAGCCGCGGUAAUACGUAGGGUGCAAGCGUGAAUCGGAAUUACUGGGCGUAAAGCGUGCGCAGGCGGUUCGGAAAGAAAGAUGUGAAAUCCCAGAGCUUAACUUUGGAGCUGCAUUUUUAACUACCGGGCUAGAGUGUGUCAGAGGGAGGUGGAAUUCCGCGUGUAGCAGUGAAAUGCGUAGAUAUGCGGAGGAACACCGAUGGCGAAGGCAGCCUCCUGGGAUAACACUGACGCUCAUGCACGAAAGCGUGGGGAGCAAACAGGAUUAGAUACCCUGGUAGUCCACGCCCUAAACGAUGUCAACUAGCUGUUGGGGCCUUCGGGCCUUGGUAGCGCAGCUAACGCGUGAAGUUGACCGCCUGGGGAGUACGGUCGCAAGAUUAAAACUCAAAGGAAUUGG
Molecule: ribosomal RNA, 565 nt
Filed under: uncultured bacterium
Lineage: Bacteria
Description: partial 16S ribosomal RNA
Rfam family: Bacterial small subunit ribosomal RNA
Source: RNAcentral